UAGUUGGUGAGGUAACGGCUCACCAAGGCGACGAUGCGUAGCCGACUGAGAGGGUGAUCGGCCACACUGGGACUGAGACACGGCCCAGACUCUACGGGAGGCAGCAGUAGGGAAUCUUCCGCAAUGGACGAAAGUCUGACGGAGCAACGCCGCGUGAGUGAUGAAGGUUUUCGGAUCGUAAAGCUCUGUUGUUAGGGAAGAACAAGUGCCGUUCAAAUAGGGCGGCACCUUGACGGUACCUACCAGAAAGCCACGGCUAACUACGUGCCAGCAGCCGCGGUAAUACGUAGGUGGCAAGCGUUGUCCGGAAUUAUUGGGCGUAAAGGGCUCGCAGGCGGUUUCUUAAGUCUGAUGUGAAAGCCCCCGGCUCAACCGGGGAGGGUCAUUGGAAACUGGGGAACUUGAGUGCAGAAGAGGAGAGUGGAAUUCCACGUGUAGCGGUGAAAUGCGUAGAGAUGUGGAGGAACACCAGUGGCGAAGGCGACUCUCUGGUCUGUAACUGACGCUGAGGAGCGAAAGCGUGGGGAGCGAACAGGAUUAGAUACCCUGGUAGUCCACGCCGUAAACGAUGAGUGCUAAGUGUUAGGGGGUUUCCGCCCCUUAGUGCUGCAGCUAACGCAUUAAGCACUCCGCCUGGGGAGUACGGUCGCAAGACUGAAACUCAAAGGAAUUGACGGGGGCCCGCACAAGCGGUGGAGCAUGUGGUUUAAUUCGAAGCAACGCGAAGAACCUUACCAGGUCUUGACAUCCUCUGACAAUCCUAGAGAUAGGACGUCCCCUUCGGGGGCAGAGUGACAGGUGGUGCAUGGUUGUCGUCAGCUCGUGUCGUGAGAUGUUGGGUUAAGUCCCGCAACGAGCGCAACCCUUGAUCUUAGUUGCCAGCAUUCAGUUGGGCACUCUAAGGUGACUGCCGGUGACAAACCGGAGGAAGGUGGGGAUGACGUCAAAUCAUCAUGCCCCUUAUGACCUGGGCUACACACGUGCUACAAUGGACAGAACAAAGGGCAGCGAAACCGCGAGGUUAAGCCAAUCCCACAAAUCUGUUCUCAGUUCGGAUCGCAGUCUGCAACUCGACUGCGUGAAGCUGGAAUCGCUAGUAAUCGCGGAUCAKCAUGCCGCGGUGAAUACGUUCCCGGGCCUUGUACACACCCGCCCGUCA
RNAcentral lists this ribosomal RNA (1159 nucleotides) under Bacillus velezensis. RNAcentral describes it as "bacterial SSU rRNA". The record is from RNAcentral. Lineage: Bacteria; Bacillati; Bacillota; Bacilli; Caryophanales; Bacillaceae.